GAAGCUGACCAGACAGUCGCCGCUUCGUCGUCGUCCUUUCGGGGAGACGGGCGGAGGGGAGGAAAGUCCGGGCUCCAUAGGGCAGGGUGCCAGGUAACGCCUGGGGGGGAAACCCACGACCAGUGCAACAGAGAGCAAACCGCCGAUGGCCCACGUAAGUGGGAUCAGGUAAGGGUGAAAGGGUGCGGUAAGAGCGCACCGCGCGGCUGGUAACAGUCCGUGGCACGGUAAACUCCACCCGGAGCAAGGCCAAAUAGGGGUUCAUAAGGUACGGCCCGUACUGAACCCGGGUAGGCUGCUUGAGCCAGUGAGCGAUUGCUGGCCUAGAUGAAUGACUGUCCACGACAGAACGCGGCUUAUCGGUCAGUUUCACCU
RNAcentral lists this RNase P RNA (375 nucleotides) under Salmonella enterica subsp. enterica serovar Rubislaw. RNAcentral's name for it is "RNase P RNA component class A". It matches the Rfam family "Bacterial RNase P class A". From Rfam's summary of the family: Ribonuclease P (RNase P) is a ubiquitous endoribonuclease, found in archaea, bacteria and eukarya as well as chloroplasts and mitochondria. Its best characterised activity is the generation of mature 5'-ends of tRNAs by cleaving the 5'-leader elements of precursor-tRNAs. Lineage: Bacteria; Pseudomonadati; Pseudomonadota; Gammaproteobacteria; Enterobacterales; Enterobacteriaceae. The record is from RNAcentral.